UGACGUCAAACACAGAGAAUCACAGAUUCUACUAUACGUAUAGGGUUAACAGAGUUUGAAAUUCUUACAGAUCUAAUAAUCUCAAGGUUCAGCUCCUCCGGCGUCAACAACAUAUCGGCGCUAGGGUUCCGGUAAAACAUAAACUCACGAUCACCGUCCGAUUUCAACGUAACAAACGCCAACGCAGUUCUCGCACCUUUAUCAAAGCAAAUUCCCUCACCGGAGACACCGUUCUCCUUCAAGAUCCCGGCGAGCAUGUGACCGAACUCAUCGUCGCCUAACUUUCCGACGAACUCGAUUAGCAUCUCGCCGAAGCUGACGAUCAGUUUUUUGUCGGUGACUCCAUUGGUGGCCGCCAUUGAUGAGCUUGAGAGAAGAAAAAAGUUGCAGGUUUUUUAAGAGGAAAGAGAUGAUAAACAACCCGGUUUACAAACGGGACAAAUUGUUUAUCUCAAUAUGUUUGGAGGGCAUUAUUGCUUAA
RNAcentral lists this long non-coding RNA (481 nucleotides) under Helianthus annuus (common sunflower). RNAcentral describes it as "sRNA HanXRQr2_Chr01g0035941". Lineage: Eukaryota; Viridiplantae; Streptophyta; Magnoliopsida; Asterales; Asteraceae. The record is from RNAcentral.